Molecule: unclassified non-coding RNA, 309 nt
Filed under: Hevea brasiliensis (rubber tree)
Lineage: Eukaryota; Viridiplantae; Streptophyta; Magnoliopsida; Malpighiales; Euphorbiaceae
Source: RNAcentral
AUGGGCAAACAGCACUGGCUCCAUAUCCAAUCAAGCAAGCAAAAUGGUGAGUGCUGAAGCACUGAGCAGUAUCAGCAAUAAUGGAAGCAGACAUGCGUAAACCAUUUUGAAUCAGGUGCUGAUGAACAGCACCAACAGCUAAGAGAAUAGGGAUGGCAGGACGAGUUGGGUGCAGCUCUUCAGAACGGUCAGAAAGAAUAAGCAGUUGAGAACCAUUACGAACAGCUUCAUCUGCCGCUUCGCAGAGAUUCUUCAGUGUUCUCUCCAAUGAACCAUCCAAUCCUUUGCGGAUGCCAAAAAAUGUUUGCA